CAGAAAUGCAGUCUGUGGCUGAGAUGGCUUCUAAUGCCUAUCGCAAACCCAGUGUCAGUCCAUCAGCUACGAUGCUGAAAGCUCUGCCUAUGCGGUUCCUCGCCUCGCCGGAGCCCGGUGGGUGGAGCCGGCGACUACCACGACGAUCGCUGCGGUCGGUUUCGGCAGCGCUCAUGACCAACCCCGCUUACUUCGAGGUGGGAAGAUUCUUGGGUGGCUAUGGCUUCAUGAACAUCACAAGUUACUCAUCAUCUCAAUUUGGAGAGCCUUCAAAUGUUGCCGGUAUUCAAGACCUUGGUCUUGGAUAUUCACCAGAAGAGAUCGAACGGUUGAGGGUCCAAGAUAUUGGAGAAGGAGAAGUGACAAUUAGACUUUAUGAGGGAAGAGUUGUUCAAGGUCCAUUCAGGGGCACACGGGCUGUAUUUAAGGUAUACCCUGGAGCCCGUGCUGAUGCUUCUGAAGCUGAUUUGAUGGCACUGAAUGAGUUAAGGACUCAUGCGUUUCUUCAGAGUGAUGCUAGUGACAUAUGCGAGAACAUCCAGUUUCUUUUAGGGGCCUUCGAGACAGCAACUGGAGAACAGUGGCUCGCCUUCCGUGAUGACGGGAGAUAUAGUGCUGCAGACUAUGCAAAUGUAACUAGUGCAAGGCAAUUGAAGGAAAAAUCUGGAGGGACGCCAUUCUGGAACCCUUUCGAUCGAGCAUACAAAUUGGAGUUAAGGAGAUACUUUGUUCUUAAGUUGCUGAACGGUGCUAUGAGUGGCCUUGUUCACAUGCACAAUCAUGAUAGACUGCAUCAAAGCCUUGGACCUUCUUCUGUAAUUCUCAAUACGGCAUUGGAUAAAGAGGGACGCUACUUGGUUCCAAGGCUGAGAGAUUUGGCAUUUUCUGUAGAUAUUGGGUACUCAUCUAUUGGGGCUGGAGUGCUGUCGGACGGACUAUGGCGUCGAGCCUCUGCUGCUGGGGCUUCCACUCCUUUGGAGAAGCGAGCCUUUGGAAUAGCUGAUGACAUUUAUGGAGCUGGGCUGCUUCUUGCAUACAUGUCAUUCAUUCCAUUCUGCAAAGCGGGCGUUAUGGAUGGUAUCUCCUUGCAGGUGAUUCAGGAUAUUUUAACAUCGUGUCCAUAGACUUUUAGAGAGCACCUUUCGGCUUGACAUUUACGCUGCAAGAGAGUAUUGUCUGGCAGAUGACCAGCUGUCGGAAGCAGUAAGUUUUCUAGAUUUAGGGGAUGGUGCUGGCUGGGAGUUAUUGCAGGCAAUGCUUAAUCCGGAUUACCGCAAGCGACCAAUUGCAGAGGCUGUACUGAACCACAGGUUUAUAACUGGAGCAGUUUUACGAAACUACUAAUCAGCAUUUUUUUUACUUGUAUAAAGUUGCUACGUGGAAAUUGUAAAAGUACAAUAAUUUUAGUGGGUGAAGAGGUGAUACGUUUCUUGGAUGAACA
This is an RNA transcript of Zea mays, 1441 nucleotides long. RefSeq lists it as uncharacterized. The record is from RefSeq and is a predicted model, not a curated record. The transcript is spliced from 12 exons. NCBI's taxonomy places the organism in Eukaryota, Viridiplantae, Streptophyta, Magnoliopsida, Poales, Poaceae.